GAUGAACGCUGGCGGCGUGCCUAAUACAUGCAAGUCGAGCGAACAGACGAGGAGCUUGCUCCUCUGACGUUAGCGGCGGACGGGUGAGUAACACGUGGAUAACCUACCUAUAAGACUGGGAUAACUUCGGGAAACCGGAGCUAAUACCGGAUAAUAUAUUGAACCGCAUGGUUCAAUAGUGAAAGACGGUUUUGCUGUCACUUAUAGAUGGAUCCGCGCCGCUUUAGCUAGUUGGUAAGGUAACGGCUUACCAAGGCAACGAUGCGUAGCCGACCUGAGAGGGGGAUCGGCCACACUGGAACUGAGACACGGUCAAGACUCCUACGGGAGGCAGCAGAAGGGAAUCUUCCGCAAUGGGCGAAAGCUUGACGGAGCAACGCGGCGUGAGUGAUGAAGUUCUUCGGAUCGUAAAACUCGGUUAUUGGGGAGGAACAAAUGUGGAAGUAACUGUGCACGUCUUGACGGUACCUAAUCAGAAAGCCACGGCUAACUACGUG
This 497-nucleotide ribosomal RNA is filed under the name uncultured bacterium. Its description in RNAcentral is "partial 16S ribosomal RNA". It matches the Rfam family "Bacterial small subunit ribosomal RNA", at positions 28 to 507 of the family's 1533-position model. The record is from RNAcentral.